CCUACGGGAGGCAGCAGUGGGGAAUUUUCCGCAAUGGGCGAAAGCCUGACGGAGCAAUACCGCGUGAGGGAUGAAAGCCUGUGGGUUGUAAACCUCUUUUCUCAAGGAAGAAGUUCUGACGGUACUUGAGGAAUAAGCAUCGGCUAACUCUGUGCCAGCAGCCGCGGUAAUACAGAGGAUGCAAGCGUUAUCCGGAAUCACUGGGCAUAAAGCGUCUGUAGGUUGCCUACCAAGUCUGCUGUUAAAGAUCAGGGCCUAACCCUGGGAAAGCAGUGGAAACUAGUAGGCUUGAGUGUGGUAGAGGUAGAGGGAAUUCCUGGUGUAGCGGUGAAAUGCGUAGAUAUUAGGAAGAACACCAAUGGCGAAAGCACUCUACUGGGCCAUAACUGACACUGAGAGACGACAGCUAGGGGAGCAAAUGGGAUUAGAUACCCCAGUAGUCCUAGCCGUAAACGAUGGAUACUAGGUGUUGCACGUAUUAACCCGUGCAGUAUCGUAGCUAAGGCGUUAAGUAUCCCGCCUGGGAAGUACGCUCGCAAGAGUGAAACUCAAAAUGAAUUGACGG
This 565-nucleotide ribosomal RNA is filed under the name uncultured bacterium. RNAcentral's name for it is "bacterial SSU rRNA". It matches the Rfam family "Bacterial small subunit ribosomal RNA", at positions 338 to 916 of the family's 1533-position model. The record is from RNAcentral.